GGUUAAGCGACUAAGCGUACACGGUGGAUGCCCUGGCAGUCAGAGGCGAUGAAGGACGUGCUAAUCUGCGAUAAGCGUCGGUAAGGUGAUAUGAACCGUUAUAACCGGCGAUUUCCGAAUGGGGAAACCCAGUGUGUUUCGACACACUAUCAUUAACUGAAUCCAUAGGUUAAUGAGGCGAACCGGGGGAACUGAAACAUCUAAGUACCCCGAGGAAAAGAAAUCAACCGAGAUUCCCCCAGUAGCGGCGAGCGAACGGGGAGGAGCCCAGAGCCUGAAUCAGUGUGUGUGUUAGUGGAAGCGUCUGGAAAGGCGCGCGAUACAGGGUGACAGCCCCGUACACAAAAAUGCACAUGCUGUGAGCUCGAUGAGUAGGGCGGGACACGUGGUAUCCUGUCUGAAUAUGGGGGGACCAUCCUCCAAGGCUAAAUACUCCUGACUGACCGAUAGUGAACCAGUACCGUGAGGGAAAGGCGAAAAGAACCCCGGCGAGGGGAGUGAAAAAGAACCUGAAACCGUGUACGUACAAGCAGUGGGAGCACGCUUAGGCGUGUGACUGCGUACCUUUUGUAUAAUGGGUCAGCGACUUAUAUUCUGUAGCAAGGUUAACCGAAUAGGGGAGCCGAAGGGAAACCGAGUCUUAACUGGGCGUUAAGUUGCAGGGUAUAGACCCGAAACCCGGUGAUCUAGCCAUGGGCAGGUUGAAGGUUGGGUAACACUAACUGGAGGACCGAACCGACUAAUGUUGAAAAAUUAGCGGAUGACUUGUGGCUGGGGGUGAAAGGCCAAUCAAACCGGGAGAUAGCUGGUUCUCCCCGAAAGCUAUUUAGGUAGCGCCUCGUGAAUUCAUCUCCGGGGGUAGAGCACUGUUUCGGCAAGGGGGUCAUCCCGACUUACCAACCCGAUGCAAACUGCGAAUACCGGAGAAUGUUAUCACGGGAGACACACGGCGGGUGCUAACGUCCGUCGUGAAGAGGGAAACAACCCAGACCGCCAGCUAAGGUCCCAAAGUCAUGGUUAAGUGGGAAACGAUGUGGGAAGGCCCAGACAGCCAGGAUGUUGGCUUAGAAGCAGCCAUCAUUUAAAGAAAGCGUAAUAGCUCACUGGUCGAGUCGGCCUGCGCGGAAGAUGUAACGGGGCUAAACCAUGCACCGAAGCUGCGGCAGCGACGCUGAUGCGUUGUUGGGUAGGGGAGCGUUCUGUAAGCCUGCGAAGGUGUGCUGUGAGGCAUGCUGGAGGUAUCAGAAGUGCGAAUGCUGACAUAAGUAACGAUAAAGCGGGUGAAAAGCCCGCUCGCCGGAAGACCAAGGGUUCCUGUCCAACGUUAAUCGGGGCAGGGUGAGUCGACCCCUAAGGCGAGGCCGAAAGGCGUAGUCGAUGGGAAACAGGUUAAUAUUCCUGUACUUGGUGUUACUGCGAAGGGGGGACGGAGAAGGCUAUGUUGGCCGGGCGACGGUUGUCCCGGUUUAAGCGUGUAGGCUGGUUUUCCAGGCAAAUCCGGAAAAUCAAGGCUGAGGCGUGAUGACGAGGCACUACGGUGCUGAAGCAACAAAUGCCCUGCUUCCAGGAAAAGCCUCUAAGCAUCAGGUAACAUCAAAUCGUACCCCAAACCGACACAGGUGGUCAGGUAGAGAAUACCAAGGCGCUUGAGAGAACUCGGGUGAAGGAACUAGGCAAAAUGGUGCCGUAACUUCGGGAGAAGGCACGCUGAUAUGUAGGUGAAGUCCCUCGCGGAUGGAGCUGAAAUCAGUCGAAGAUACCAGCUGGCUGCAACUGUUUAUUAAAAACACAGCACUGUGCAAACACGAAAGUGGACGUAUACGGUGUGACGCCUGCCCGGUGCCGGAAGGUUAAUUGAUGGGGUUAGCGCAAGCGAAGCUCUUGAUCGAAGCCCCGGUAAACGGCGGCCGUAACUAUAACGGUCCUAAGGUAGCGAAAUUCCUUGUCGGGUAAGUUCCGACCUGCACGAAUGGCGUAAUGAUGGCCAGGCUGUCUCCACCCGAGACUCAGUGAAAUUGAACUCGCUGUGAAGAUGCAGUGUACCCGCGGCAAGACGGAAAGACCCCGUGAACCUUUACUAUAGCUUGACACUGAACAUUGAGCCUUGAUGUGUAGGAUAGGUGGGAGGCUUUGAAGUGUGGACGCCAGUCUGCAUGGAGCCGACCUUGAAAUACCACCCUUUAAUGUUUGAUGUUCUAACGUGGACCCGUAAUCCGGGUUGCGGACAGUGUCUGGUGGGUAGUUUGACUGGGGCGGUCUCCUCCUAAAGAGUAACGGAGGAGCACGAAGGUUGGCUAAUCCUGGUCGGACAUCAGGAGGUUAGUGCAAUGGCAUAAGCCAGCUUGACUGCGAGCGUGACGGCGCGAGCAGGUGCGAAAGCAGGUCAUAGUGAUCCGGUGGUUCUGAAUGGAAGGGCCAUCGCUCAACGGAUAAAAGGUACUCCGGGGAUAACAGGCUGAUACCGCCCAAGAGUUCAUAUCGACGGCGGUGUUUGGCACCUCGAUGUCGGCUCAUCACAUCCUGGGGCUGAAGUAGGUCCCAAGGGUAUGGCUGUUCGCCAUUUAAAGUGGUACGCGAGCUGGGUUUAGAACGUCGUGAGACAGUUCGGUCCCUAUCUGCCGUGGGCGCUGGAGAACUGAGGGGGGCUGCUCCUAGUACGAGAGGACCGGAGUGGACGCAUCACUGGUGUUCGGGUUGUCAUGCCAAUGGCACUGCCCGGUAGCUAAAUGCGGAAGAGAUAAGUGCUGAAAGCAUCUAAGCACGAAACUUGCCCCGAGAUGAGUUCUCCCUGACUCCUUGAGAGUCCUGAAGGAACGUUGAAGACGACGACGUUGAUAGGCCGGGUGUGUAAGCGCAGCGAUGCGUUGAGCUAACCGGUACUAAUGAACCGUGAGGCUUAACCUU
RNAcentral lists this ribosomal RNA (2904 nucleotides) under Escherichia coli. RNAcentral describes it as "23S ribosomal RNA". It matches the Rfam family "Bacterial large subunit ribosomal RNA". Lineage: Bacteria; Pseudomonadati; Pseudomonadota; Gammaproteobacteria; Enterobacterales; Enterobacteriaceae. The record is from RNAcentral.